Molecule: ribosomal RNA, 457 nt
Filed under: Carios vespertilionis
Lineage: Eukaryota; Metazoa; Arthropoda; Arachnida; Ixodida; Argasidae
Description: partial 16S ribosomal RNA
Rfam family: Bacterial large subunit ribosomal RNA (bases 320-457)
Source: RNAcentral
UAUUUUUUAAAUUGCUGUGGUAUUUUAACUAUACGAAGGUAUUGAAAUAAGGCUUUAAAUGGGUGCUAAGAGAAUGGUUUAACGAAGAUAGACUUUUUUCUUUUUUUUAUUAAAAGUUGAUUUAAAAAUGAAGAGGUUUUUAUAGAAAUUUGGGACAAGAAGACCCUAUGAAUUUUGAUAUAAGAUUUUUUAAUUAAAUUUUCUAAUAAAUUUUAAAUUUUUCUUUUAUUUGAUUGGGGUGAUUUUUAAAGAUUCAGAAUCUUUAAAGUUUUAUUAAAUGGAUCCAUUAAUAGUGAUUUGUUGAAUAAAAUACUCUAGGGAUAACAGCGUUAUUAUUUUGGAUAGUUCAUAUAGAUAAAAUAGUUUGCGACCUCGAUGUUGGAUUAAGAUACUCUUGGAGUGUAGAAGCUUCAAAAAUAGGAGAAGUUUGCUCAACUUUUAAAUUCUUACUUGAUCU